This 546-nucleotide ribosomal RNA is filed under the name uncultured bacterium. RNAcentral's name for it is "bacterial SSU rRNA". It matches the Rfam family "Bacterial small subunit ribosomal RNA", at positions 356 to 896 of the family's 1533-position model. The record is from RNAcentral.
GGGGAAUAUUGCGCAAUGGGGGGAACCCUGACGCAGCCAUGCCGCGUGAAUGAAGAAGGCCUUCGGGUUGUAAAGUUCUUUCGGUAUUGAGGAAGGUUGAUGUGUUAGUAGCACAUCAAAUUGACGUUAAAUACAGAAGAAGCACCGGCUAACUCCGUGCCAGCAGCCGCGGUAAUACGGAGGGUGCGAGCGUUAAUCGGAAUAACUGGGCGUAAAGGGCACGCAGGCGGUUAUUUAAGUGAGGUGUGAAAGCCCCGGGCUUAACCUGGGGAUUGCAUUUCAGACUGGGUAACUAGAGUACUUUAGGGAGGGGUAGAAUUCCACGUGUAGCGGUGAAAUGCGUAGAGAUGUGGAGGAAUACCGAAGGCGAAGGCAGCCCCUUGGGAAUGUACUGACGCUCAUGUGCGAAAGCGUGGGGAGCAAACAGGAUUAGAUACCCUGGUAGUCCACGCUGUAAACGCUGUCGAUUUGGGGGUUGGGGUUUAACUCUGGCGCCCGUAGCUAACGUGAUAAAUCGACCGCCUGGGGAGUACGGCCGCAAGGUUA